GACGAACGCUGGCGGCGUGCUUAACACAUGCAAGUCGAACGGAAAGGCCCUGCUUUUGUGGGGUGCUCGAGUGGCGAACGGGUGAGUAACACGUGAGUAACCUGCCCUUGACUUUGGGAUAACUUCAGGAAACUGGGGCUAAUACCGGAUAGGAGCUCCUGCUGCAUGGGGGGGGUUGGAAAGUUUCGGCGGUUGGGGAUGGACUCGCGGCUUAUCAGCUUGUUGGUGGGGUAGUGGCUUACCAAGGCUUUGACGGGUAGCCGGCCUGAGAGGGUGGCCGCCCACAUUGGGCCUGCGAUACGGCCCAGACUCCUACGGGAGGCAGCAGGGGGGAAUAUUGCACAAUGGGCGGAAGCCUGAUGCAGCAGCGUCGCGUGCGGGAUGACGGCCUUCGGGUUGUAAACCGCUUUCGCCUGUGACGAAGCGUGGGUGACGGUAAUGGGUAAAGAAGCACCGGCUAACUACGUG
This 468-nucleotide ribosomal RNA is filed under the name uncultured bacterium. RNAcentral's name for it is "partial 16S ribosomal RNA". It matches the Rfam family "Bacterial small subunit ribosomal RNA", at positions 28 to 507 of the family's 1533-position model. The record is from RNAcentral.